Camellia sinensis is the source of this 843-nucleotide long non-coding RNA. RefSeq lists it as uncharacterized. NCBI's taxonomy places the organism in Eukaryota, Viridiplantae, Streptophyta, Magnoliopsida, Ericales, Theaceae. The record is from RefSeq and is a predicted model, not a curated record.
CAAACUAAACAGAUUUUACAUACGAAAUACAUAAUGUAGAACACUUUGUCGAAAUCGUCAUAAAACCUGCAAUAUAGAGCAGAGACUUACAUUAAUAUUUUUGACAAAAAAUAUUUUUUAAAUAAAAAUAGUUAGAAAGUCAUAUAUUCACGGUGGUAGUAGUGGAGAUGAUAGUAGCCGUAAUAUUAACAUACGUAUGGGGGUGGGUUGUACUUGGUUCAAUUGAAGGAUUCCGUAAUUGGUGGGCUGGGUUUAAAUUUAAGAAGCUUGAGUGGAUGAUUUGGAAAACAAUUCCUAUGGCUUUGCUGUGGUCCAUCUGGAAGUGCAGGCAUGAUUGUGUCUUUAGAGGAGUUCAGCCACAGGGCAUGAUCUGGUUCAUAAUCUGCAGCUGAGUAGGGGCCACGCAUUGUGAUCUUCAAGGACUUGGUGGACUGAUGGAGUUGGGAAUCUUGGUGGCCUGACGCUUGAUGGUUGCUCCAUGCUAGUAAUGACAGGGGUGAAGCAGAGGAGUACAUCAUUGUUCAUUAUGCUGUUGCUGAUAUUGCUGUGUGAUCUAUGAGGAUUUGGGAGGUUAGUUUGGUAGUGUGAUUGGGUGGUUUUUGCCUAGCCUUUUUCUUGGAACUUGGCGAGGUGGUUAUAUGAUGGGUUGUUGAUUUUGGUGGCUAUAUGUUGGUCUCUUAUCAAUUUUUUUGGCUUGAGCUUACACAUGAUUUGAUAUUUUUCUUGGUGUCAACCUAAUUGGUAUUAGGAGGUUCAUUAUGAUGCCUGUUGCUCUUGUCUCUUUUUAUUGAUGUAUUUCAUGUGUACUGUAUUUUAUUUAUCAAUAAAAUUUAUUUUCUUUUA